UCACCCAAAAGGUGUUUGCAUUCAUGCAGUAACUUUCUAACUGAUACUUACAUUAUACUGUAUCUUUUGAUUUUGAAUGUGUGCACAUGAAUUUUAGAUGGAAAUUUAUCGGCCUGGGCUUGGAAGAUAAUGGUGACUGCUACACAUGUUCCUUCGUUCCUCCGGAGCAAUAAAGAAGAUAUGGCAGCUGGGGCUUCAAUUGUAUCACCCACACUUAGUAUACACACAUGAAUAUAGUUACAAGUCAAAUCACAUAUUGUGCUCAUUUCACAAUGUAAUGUAGGACUAGUUAACUGUUAGUCAUUGUAACAUGUUUGACUGAGAUGAAGCUUCAUUGCACCUUUCAUUCUCUUUAUGUGCUCAUUUUAGUAAUAGUUACUAGGUUCUUGGGCUGUAGUUGUAACUGGAUGAAGCUUCAUUGUAACUAGAUUUGUAGUGGAG
RNAcentral lists this long non-coding RNA (441 nucleotides) under Hordeum vulgare. RNAcentral's name for it is "long non-coding RNA (HVUL_LNC012164)". Lineage: Eukaryota; Viridiplantae; Streptophyta; Magnoliopsida; Poales; Poaceae. The record is from RNAcentral.